Ostrea edulis (European flat oyster) is the source of this 459-nucleotide long non-coding RNA. RefSeq lists it as uncharacterized. Lineage: Eukaryota; Metazoa; Mollusca; Bivalvia; Ostreida; Ostreidae. The transcript has 4 exons. The record is from RefSeq and is a predicted model, not a curated record.
UGUAUACAUAAUGGAUAGAAACUGAUCAAAAACCCGUGCUAAAGGUUAAGCAAUUUAUAAUUCCUAUAUUAUCGUCUUUGUUUGCUUUGCUAUUCAGAUCAGGCAUAUUGCAAAAUCUGACUGAAGAAAGAUAUAACUACGGAGUGACUAUUUCGUUCCAAGAUCACCAUUAGUCAAUUGAACUUCACCAGGGCCGCUACAUGAACAGCAUAUUAAACGGACAAAAUAUACACAGUAAGCAGCUACAAUGGUCAUCUCCGACGAAAGGAACCAGUGCAUCAAGUCUGACCUCUGUCGAGCAAAGGGAGAUCCACGUGCUCCAUUUGACAAGCAGCUGACGAUUGCCGCUUGUGAACUUAUCCAUGACCUUGCGGUGGAAUAUGUGUUGAAAACAAUUUGAAAAACCCAUGUAAUUCUGUAGCGUGUGUUAAGACUUUUAUAUUGUAAAUUUUCUAUAAA